RNAcentral lists this small RNA (295 nucleotides) under Vigna angularis var. angularis. RNAcentral's name for it is "Non-protein coding transcript". The record is from RNAcentral. Lineage: Eukaryota; Viridiplantae; Streptophyta; Magnoliopsida; Fabales; Fabaceae.
CCACGAUGCCAAACCCAACUCAAACUUCACUCGACAAAUUGCAGCUUUUCAUCCUUCCAUUUGGGGGGAUUAUUUCCUUUCCUAUGAUUCUACUUUUCAUGAAGAUGACAGCGACAUCCAACAAGUUACAAAAUUAAAAGAAUAUGUGAGGAAGAUUAUUGUCUCUCCUGUUUUUAAGGAUAUCCUCUUUAAAUUAAACAUCAUCAACUCAGUCCAACGUUUGGGUGUUUCUUAUCAUUUUGAACAUGAAAUCGAUGAGGCAUUGCAUCAAAUUUAUGAGAUUUCAACAAAGGAG